CAUCAAUAAAAUCAAGUCUCCUUUAAUCUAAAAUGAUAAAAAUAUCUCAAAUCCAAAAGUCCACCACUCCACAUCUCGACUCAGCUCCACUUUUCUCCUACAACAACCUUCAACACCCUGGUGGCUAGUUCGAGAUUAGUCUUUCGUGCUCAUAUCAUAGAAAGAAUUCCAAAUAAACAUUGGAAUAUAAAACAUAUUAUUUCAUAAAAAUUAUCAAUAUUAUCUAAAUAGGUAUACAACAUAAGGAACCAUUUUUCUGUAACCCUAAAUUAUAUACACAUCUUAAUCAUAACACGUAACAAGUAAUCGUCAACAUAGAUUGAAACACAACUCAACCAAGUUAGGUUCAUUAUGAAUCAUAGUAUCAUAGUUCUUAAAUAAUCCAUAAGAUCGUUAUCGUAAUCAUAACGUUAUUUCUUAUACUUAUUUGUAACCUUAUCCAAGGUAUCUUAUUUCUUGUGGGGCGUACUCCAACUUAACUAACUAGCCCUACCGCUCAUUUGUAAGAUUCGUAAAUGUCUCGUAGUAUGUAUCCAUCAGAGAAUAAUUCAUAAGGGCCCGAUUCAUAAUUCAUAAAGGCACUAGUGGCCCAAUUCAUAAUUCGUAAGGGCAACUGCGUCUCAGGUGGUGUGGGCGAUAGUCUAGGUAGUGAGUUUGUAUUUUAAUCCCUCUAUUAUUCAUCUAGGUGAGGCGUUCUUGUCACAGCUCACUUGUCGUAUCUAAACUUAUCAUCAUCUAACGUUUAGUCUAGCCUUAUCAUAGUUUAAAGUCACAUCACUUUGAAUUCAGAAAUAAAACAUAACAUGAAACAUAAUAUGUAACCUAACUACAACAACAUAAAAAUUUACCCCCUUAAACCAACCCACCUUUGAAAUCAAACGGUGAGUGUCCAAAGUGAGGGAUCGAGAUUUAACGUGAAAUCUUGAACGUCUUUAUCAACCUAAAGACGAGGAGAAUGGAUCAAACUAAAUUCUAUCAAAAAAGUGGAACGAGCUCAGGGUGAUGACUUGGAAACUUGGGAAAGACCGCUUCAUAAUCGAUUAUGAAGUGAAAAAAAAGAUUCGAUUUAAUCUACAAGCUUAUAGGAAAAUAAUUUAUAAUUACUACUUUACCAAAUAACUACUAAUCAAUUAUAUUCAUUUACAAAUUCGUAAUCAUAUUAAAUUUACCGUAAAUAUAUUAUUAGUUUAGAAUCAUCAUAGUAAGAAUCGGUUCUUAUAAACUAAUUCGUAUCCAAUUGAGAGACCUAAAUACAAAUUCUCAUUAAUUACAACUUCUAUCCAUAAUAAAAUCAUGAUAUUCUUAAUUUAUUAUCACCUUAAAACUAUAAGGAAUUGUAUCUAAGUUCAAAUAAAUUUACGCUCAAUAUCUGGGUUUGUUAUGUCACAUUCCAAAAGUUGCUGGCCGCGACAGUAACAAGGGAAGGUAUAUGACUGAACUGACCGUUUCUAAAAAUAUAUUUGUAACGUAAUGACUGGAGAUAUAGGUACUCUAUCAAAAUUACUAAAUAUGAAAUCUUGAUCACUGAAAAUCCAGUGACUACAAUUCAAAUCCUAUAACUCCUUCCUAGAAACUGGCAUUUCGCCCAAUCUAUGAUCAGAGCUCGGGAUUCCGGCGAGCAUCGAAUCUAUCUCAACUUGACAGGAACCAGAAAUCUAUCACAAGGAAAAGCUUCCUGACCUUCGUUUGAAUCUAUCGCACUACUUUGGAUCAUUCGAAUCAACCUAGAAAUCUGAAACGCGACGAACGGAAGGGCGGCAAACAGAGGCGUUGUCGACAAGGAUUUAUUCCUCUGGAAUAUAAAUCUAAGCUUAGCACACUAAUCUUAAGAUGGCUUAUGGGACCAAAGACUUUGUAAUGGAUGGUCAACUAAAUCCCCUUACCUCAAGAGAGAAAUACGUUCGGUUGGAGGCUCAACGUCGUCGUUUGAGUAUGCAGCGACUUGCCUCCUCCUGGAAAUAGGGAGGGUUAACUACAAAAUUGCGUAUGAAUUCUGAAACGAGAGAGUUCGAAAGGAAAGCCAUAUCGAGUUCUUACUUUGCUCUUGGCCUCGACUUAGCCGAUGACAUUACCAUCGCCGAGUUAAAGAUGAAGAAUCGGUCCCCUGGUUUCCGUCCAAUGACGGGAACUAAGAGAGGAGAUUCUAUUCGGAAAAUGAGGGAAUGCGUGAGGAUAAUUUGUAUCCCAAAAUUUCACAGCUGUCGAGCCGAAAUCAUGGAGUAAAGAAGGAAGGCACGGGUCUGAAGAAUUGGAAAGAAAUUCUCGGAGGAAAAGGA
RNAcentral lists this long non-coding RNA (2276 nucleotides) under Linum usitatissimum (flax). RNAcentral describes it as "long non-coding RNA (LUSI_LNC005746)". The record is from RNAcentral. Lineage: Eukaryota; Viridiplantae; Streptophyta; Magnoliopsida; Malpighiales; Linaceae.